Molecule: transfer-messenger RNA, 371 nt
Filed under: Chitinophagales
Lineage: Bacteria; Pseudomonadati; Bacteroidota; Chitinophagia
Also listed under: 1 other name
Description: JADJSS01 sp017984135 Standard tmRNA
Rfam family: transfer-messenger RNA
About the family: Bacterial tmRNA, also known as 10Sa RNA or SsrA, is named for its dual tRNA and mRNA-like properties. Its role is to liberate the mRNA from a stalled ribosome.
Source: RNAcentral
GGGGUUGACAGGAAUUGACGGCAGGAUAGUUGGUAAGUAAGCAUGCCGAGCAUUGUGCAAUUUGGCUCGUUAAAUUUAAUGCAUAAAACUUUUUUAUAUGGCGAGAAUACUUUCGCAAUGGCUGCUUAGUACAGGUUAUUAAGCUUGGCCUUUGCUCCUCGAAUCGGUUUUUCCGAUGCCCUUCGACGGAGCAUCAUCCAAUCGGAAUAGUUACUUAAUGGUUUCGCUUAAGUAAUAAAAUUUAGAAAAUAAGCUUAUAAUCGGUUGGCAAAAACGCCUGUUAUAAGACGAAAAAUAAGUUAGUGCUAAGCAUGUAGAAAGCUUAUGAACGUUUUGUCCGGACGCGAGUUCAAAUCUCGCCAGCUCCACCA